AUGCUCCCUUUGGCAGCACAUAUACUAAAAUUGGAACUAUACAGAGAUUAGCAUGGCCCCUGCGCAGGGAUGACACACAAAUUCAUGAAGCGUUCCUUUUUUUU
This 104-nucleotide small nuclear RNA is filed under the name Dasypus novemcinctus (nine-banded armadillo). The record is from RNAcentral. Lineage: Eukaryota; Metazoa; Chordata; Mammalia; Cingulata; Dasypodidae.